CGAUUGGGACGAAGUCGUAACAAGGUAGCCGUACCGGAAGGUGCGGCUGGAUCACCUCCUUUCUAAGGAGCGCCAUCCGUCGAAGGGCGGUAUGGAGCCUCGGUUGCCUGUGUUGGGUGAUGGGGUGCUCAUUGGUCGGAGACACUGGCUAGUUGGUUUUGGCAGCGGUUUGAUGCUCUUGUACACGCUCUCUGUUUGGGGGGUGGGGGAAGGGGUUGAUGAUGCGGCUGGGGCUGGCGUUGGACACCCUGUUGGGUCCUGAAGGAAUGACCGUGUGGUUGUUUCUUGGGCCGUGUGGUCUGUGAUGUCGCCGGUUGGUGGUGUUGCGGGUUGGCGGUUUGCCUGGCGUGGCUUGCUUCGUAUACCGGAUGCUGGUUUUGCCUCCUGUGGGGGGUGGGGUUGGUGUUGCUGGUGCGGGGUGGUGGUUGCGGGUUGGUUGUUUGUUGAGAAUUACACAGUGGACGCGAGCAUCUUUGUGGUCAAGUUGUCAAGGGCGAACGGUGGAUGCCUUGGCACCAGGAGCCGAUGAAGGACGUGGGAGGCCGCGAUAGGCCUGGGGGAGCUGUCAACCGAGCUGUGAUCCCAGGGUGUCCGAAUGGGGGAACCCGGCAUCAGUCAUGUGAUGUCACCUGCACCUGAACUCAUAGGGUGUGUGGAGGGAACGCGGGGAAGUGAAACAUCUCAGUACCCGUAGGAAGAGAAAACAAUUGUGAUUCCGUGAGUAGUGGCGAGCGAAAGCGGAUUGAGGCUAAACCGGCUGCGUGUGAUACCUGUCAGGGG
Molecule: small RNA, 780 nt
Filed under: Salinispora pacifica
Lineage: Bacteria; Bacillati; Actinomycetota; Actinomycetes; Micromonosporales; Micromonosporaceae
Description: bacterial LSU rRNA
Rfam family: Bacterial large subunit ribosomal RNA (bases 478-780)
Source: RNAcentral